This 254-nucleotide ribosomal RNA is filed under the name uncultured bacterium. Its description in RNAcentral is "partial 16S ribosomal RNA". It matches the Rfam family "Bacterial small subunit ribosomal RNA", at positions 524 to 776 of the family's 1533-position model. The record is from RNAcentral.
UACGUAGGGUGCGAGCGUUGUCCGGAAUUAUUGGGCGUAAAGAGCUCGUAGGCGGUGUGUCACGUCGUUCGUGAAAACCUGCAGCUUAACUGUGGGCGUGCGGUCGAUACGGGCAUCACUGGAGUUCGGCAGGGGAGACUGGAAUUCCUGGUGUAGCGGUGAAAUGCGCAGAUAUCAGGAGGAACACCGGUGGCGAAGGCGGGUCUCUGGGCCGAUACUGACGCUGAGGAGCGAAAGCGUGGGGAGCAUACAGG